GUGGAUACUCCAACUUGCAUUUUGUAAUGUGGUAAGAUUAGAAAAGUUAUGUCUCUUUAAAUGAACAUAAUUUAAAAAUAUUUAAAAAAUUUUUAUUGACAUUUUUUGCAAGUUUGAAUGAGAAGGGGAGGGGGCGUUGGAUGUAGCACACAUUCCUACCUGUACUAACAUAUUAUAAUAAUCUUGAUUACUUGUUUCUCUUUUCCAAUAAACUUAAUUUAAAACUAUUUUUCAAAUAUCUUUUAAAAUUUUUUUUUAGGUUGGAUGUGACUGGGCAGAAAGGGGGGCGUUUGGCGUGGCACAUGUCCCGUCCCUUAUGUCAACUUAUACACCACUUGUAUAUGCUGUAAAGUUCAAAUAUUUAUAACAAUGUAGCAUUUCACUACGAGGGUGUUAAAACGUAACAAAGACAUCAACACUUCAAUCUAAAAUAGAACACUAAUAUUUGGAAAUGGAUUGGAAGCAAAUUGGAACAAUUUUUUGUGUAUAAAGAUGACAUAUUUUAUCAGAAAAACACUCUUUCGUGUGAAAAA
Hydra vulgaris (swiftwater hydra) is the source of this 533-nucleotide RNA transcript. RefSeq lists it as uncharacterized. The record is from RefSeq and is a predicted model, not a curated record. Lineage: Eukaryota; Metazoa; Cnidaria; Hydrozoa; Anthoathecata; Hydridae.